AGGCCUUAUACAUGCAAGUCGUGCGAGAAAGUAUCUUCGGAUAUGAGUAGAGCGGCGGACGGGUGAGUAACGCGUAGGAAUCUACCUAGUAGAAGGGGAUAGCCCGGGGAAACUCGGAUUAAUACCGUAUACCUCCUUAGGGAGAAAGAGGGCCUCUCUUUGAUGCUCUCGCUACUAGAUGAGCCUGCGUAAGAUUAGCUAGUUGGUGAGGUAAUGGCUCACCAAGGCGACGAUCUUUAGCUGGUCUGAGAGGACGAUCAGCCACAUUGGGACUGAGACACGGCCCAGACUCCUACGGGAGGCAGCAGUAGGGAAUAUUGGACAAUGAGCGCAAGCUUGAUCCAGCCAUACCGCGUGUGUGAAGAAGGCCUUCGGGUUGUAAAGCACUUUAAGCAGGGAGAAAAAGUUAUAGGUUAAUACCCUAUGACCGUGAUGUUACCUGCAGAAUAAGCACCGGCUAAUUCCGUGCCAGCAGCCGCGGUAAUACGGAAGGUGCAAGCGUUAAUCGGAAUUACUGGGCGUAAAGCGCGCGUAGGUGGUUUGUUAAGUUGGAUGUGAAAGCCCUGGGCUCAACCUAGGAACUGCAUCCAAAACUAACUCACUAGAGUACGAUAGAGGGAGGUAGAAUUCAUAGUGUAGCGGUGGAAUGCGUAGAUAUUAUGAAGAAUACCAGUGG
This 676-nucleotide ribosomal RNA is filed under the name uncultured Pseudomonadota bacterium. RNAcentral describes it as "bacterial SSU rRNA". It matches the Rfam family "Bacterial small subunit ribosomal RNA", at positions 44 to 715 of the family's 1533-position model. Lineage: Bacteria; Pseudomonadati; Pseudomonadota. The record is from RNAcentral.